This 372-nucleotide ribosomal RNA is filed under the name uncultured bacterium. RNAcentral's name for it is "bacterial SSU rRNA". It matches the Rfam family "Bacterial small subunit ribosomal RNA", at positions 525 to 896 of the family's 1533-position model. The record is from RNAcentral.
ACGUAGGGGGCAAGCGUUAUCCGGAUUUACUGGGUGUAAAGGGAGCGUAGACGGCAGUGCAAGUCUGAAGUGAAAGCCCGGGGCUCAACCCCGGGACUGCUUUGGAAACUGUGCAGCUAGAGUGUCGGAGAGGCAAGCGGAAUUCCUAGUGUAGCGGUGAAAUGCGUAGAUAUUAGGAGGAACACCAGUGGCGAAGGCGGCUUGCUGGACGAUGACUGACGUUGAGGCUCGAAAGCGUGGGGAGCAAACAGGAUUAGAUACCCUGGUAGUCCACGCCGUAAACGAUGACUACUAGGUGUCGGGGAGCAAAGCUCUUCGGUGCCGCAGCCAACGCAAUAAGUAGUCCACCUGGGGAGUACGUUCGCAAGAAUG